This 468-nucleotide ribosomal RNA is filed under the name uncultured bacterium. RNAcentral's name for it is "partial 16S ribosomal RNA". It matches the Rfam family "Bacterial small subunit ribosomal RNA", at positions 28 to 507 of the family's 1533-position model. The record is from RNAcentral.
GACGAACGCUGGCGGCGUGCUUAACACAUGCAAGUCGAACGGAAAGGCCCUGCUUUUGUGGGUUGCUCGAUUGGCGAACGGGUGAGUAACACGUGAGUAACCUGCCCUUGACUUUGGGAUAACUUCAGGAAACUGGGGCGAAUAUCGGAUAGGAGCUCCUGCUGCAUGGUGGGGGUUGGAAAGUUUCGGCGGUUGGGGAUGGACUCGCGGCUUAUCAGCUUGUUGGUGGGGUAGUGGCUUACCAAGGCUUUGACGGGUAGCCGGCCUGAGAGGGUGACCGGCCACAUUGGGACUGAGAUACGGCCCAGACUCCUACGGGAGGCAGCAGUGGGGAAUAUUGCACAAUGGGCGGAAGCCUGAUGCAGCAACGCCGCGUGCGGGAUGACGGCCUUCGGGUUGUAAACCGCUUUCGCCUGUGACGAAGCGUGAGUGACGGUAAUGGGUAAAGAAGCACCGGCUAACUACGUG